GACUAGGCAGGGCUGGCGUACUUGAACACAUGCAGUCGAACGGAGAUUUUUUUCUGUAGCAAUACAGAGAAAAGUCUAGUGGCGAACGGGUGCGUAACACGUGAGCAACCUGGCGUGAAGUGGGGGAUAGCUCGCCGAAAGGCGAAUUAAUACCGCAUGUGGCCAAGGAAGACAUCUUCCUGACGCCAAAGCCGGGGUAACCUGGCGCUUCUCGAGGGGCUCGCGGCCUAUCAGCUUGUUGGUGAGGUAACGGCUCACCAAGGCUAUGACGGGUAGCUGGUCUGAGAGGACGACCAGCCACACUGGAACUGAGACACGGUCCAGACACCUACGGGUGGCAGCAGUCGAGAAUUUUUCACAAUGGGGGAAACCCUGAUGGAGCGACGCCGCGUGGAGGAUGAAGGUUUUCGGAUCGUAAACUCCUGUCAUUAGAGAACAAGGCACACGGUUUAACUGGCUGUGUGUUGAUAGUAUCUGAAGAGGAAGGGACGGCUAACUCUGUGCCAGCAGCCGCGGUAAUACAGAGGUCUCAAGCGUUGUUCGGAUUCAUUGGGCGUAAAGGGUGCGUAGGUGGCGAGGUAAGUCGGAUGUGAAAUCUCCAAGCUCAACUUGGAAACUGCAUUCGAUACUGCUUUGCUAGAGGAUUGUAGAGGGCAUUGGAAUUCACGGUGUAGCAGUGAAAUGCGUAGAUAUCGUGAGGAAAGACCAGUGCGAAGGCAAAUGCCUGGCAUUCCUGACACUGNAGCACGAGGCCAGGGAGCAACGGGAUAGAUACCCCGUAGUCCUGC
This 788-nucleotide ribosomal RNA is filed under the name uncultured Verrucomicrobiales bacterium. RNAcentral describes it as "bacterial SSU rRNA". It matches the Rfam family "Bacterial small subunit ribosomal RNA", at positions 28 to 799 of the family's 1533-position model. The record is from RNAcentral. Lineage: Bacteria; Pseudomonadati; Verrucomicrobiota; Verrucomicrobiia; Verrucomicrobiales.